GGGCCUGUAGCUUAGUUUGGUUUGAGCCCCCGGCUCAUAACCGGGUGGUCGUCGGUUCAAAUCCGGCCGGGCCCA
This 75-nucleotide transfer RNA is filed under the name Deltaproteobacteria bacterium. RNAcentral's name for it is "tRNA-Ile". It matches the Rfam family "tRNA". From Rfam's summary of the family: Transfer RNA (tRNA) molecules are approximately 80 nucleotides in length. RNAcentral also lists the same sequence under 3 other names. Lineage: Bacteria; Pseudomonadati; Myxococcota; Myxococcia. The record is from RNAcentral.